Molecule: long non-coding RNA, 174 nt
Organism: Hyaena hyaena (striped hyena)
Lineage: Eukaryota; Metazoa; Chordata; Mammalia; Carnivora; Hyaenidae
Exons: 3
Source: RefSeq, a predicted model, not a curated record
GCAGAUACAGCAAAUAUCCCAUAGCAUCUUCCUGAACCCCCAAGGUCAGACCCAGACGGAAGUGGUGCCAAGACAGGACUUUUUGAACAAGGUGCCCAAUACAGAGGCAGAAGUGUUUGUCAGUGUCCAAGGGGACAUCCUUGGUGAGACAAUCCUGGGCACCCUGACACCUAG